UACGAAGGGGGCUAGCGUUGCUCGGAAUUACUGGGCGUAAAGGGCGCGUAGGCGGCCCUGUUAGUCAGGCGUGAAAGUCCUGGGCUCAACCUGGGAACUGCGCUUGAUACGGCAGAGCUAGAGGAUGGAAGAGGCUCGCGGAAUUCCCAGUGUAGAGGUGAAAUUCGUAGAUAUUGGGAAGAACACCGGUGGCGAAGGCGGCGAGCUGGUCCAUUACUGACGCUGAGGCGCGAAAGCGUGGGGAGCAAACAGG
RNAcentral lists this ribosomal RNA (253 nucleotides) under uncultured bacterium. RNAcentral describes it as "partial 16S ribosomal RNA". It matches the Rfam family "Bacterial small subunit ribosomal RNA", at positions 524 to 776 of the family's 1533-position model. The record is from RNAcentral.